Non-coding RNA from Octopus bimaculoides (California two-spot octopus), 93 nucleotides. NCBI's taxonomy places the organism in Eukaryota, Metazoa, Mollusca, Cephalopoda, Octopoda, Octopodidae. The record is from Rfam.
CUCGCGAUAGCUCAGUUGGUAGAGCGGAGGACUGUAGUCUGACUUUAAAUGCCUGUUAUCCUUAGGUCGGUGGUUCGAAUCCGUCUCGCGAGA